CCCUGUUGCCUAACCAGACAAAAUGUGGCCUGUGAUGUGGAUGAAGUCCUGUGGCCUGACCCAGUACAGAGACAUGAUGCUGUGGCUGAGUAAUGCACUUAUUUGUAUAUUUUUUGUACUUUAUUUUUACAUGGGCUUACUGUACACAAGUGUCAAACGCAUAAGAUUUCUGUUUUGUCUUUUUGUACAAGUGCUAAAUGCACAGGUUUUUUUUUGUUUUGCAACAUGCAUUUAGCCUACAGUGAACAAUAAACAUUUAUUUCUCCAGCUUCAUGUCCUGAGCAUUGUGUUUUCUAUUUUUCUACGUAGUGUUUAGUGAUUGUUCAGUAGUGUUUUUAAUUUUGAUUGACUCGGGGGACGAUUUGUCAACAUGGUUCAGUUUUGAGCACAGACUGAACUGUUUUGUGGUGAAAGUUUGGUUUUGCAAGAAGAGUCUGAGGUUUUGUGAAUGUAGCUUUUGUGUUCACAAUUUAGAGAAAAGGAGAGCAGCUUUCAAGAAAUGUGUCUUAGCAAUCGAGAAAAACUGUAAUAAAUAAUAAAAUGCAAAUCUAGUGGUCAGUCAUCGGAUUUUUAUUUCCUCUGUUUGUCUCUGUUUGCUGACGUCAGGCAGGAAUCAUGAAGGAUUUUGAGUGUGUUGGUCAGAGCUUCUGUCCUGCCAUCUGCUUCAUUAUUGAUGGACAGACAGAUAUAAAAAAAAGAGGCGAGCCGCGCACGAUUCUGAAGGGCACCACAUGAAAGACUGAUAGAGAGACAGAGACUGAGAGGUAGAGAGAGAGAGAGAGACUGAGACUGAGAGAGAGAGAAAGAGAGAGAUGCUGAUUGGUCUUUCAGGACUCCAUGGCAACAGAUACUGAGUGUGUUUGAUGAGAGAUGAAGCGUCAGACUGUAAGUGGCUCUUCAUGUUGAUCUGUGAGUAAAUCUGACCUCUUCAUCAUCAGACUCCAUCAUGGAGAAAACUCCUGCUGGACUCGGGAUCAUCGCCAGUGAAAUCAUCAAAACUAGUGAGGACUGCGGAAAGCGUCACAGGGUUGACCUCCGACCCGCUCCUCUCUUCCGUACGCUGGGUCUGAGGGGUCUGUCUGCUAGUUUACCGCCCCACCGUCGCCUGCGUUCAGUCUUAAACACCACCCCGAGCACGUCAGGUCAGUCUGUUGAUCGUUCUGACCCUUUAAUGGACAGACCUCACCGAAACUCACCCUUACAUGGGCUCAAACGCAUUCAAGACAAGCCACUGCCCAAAAUUGUACCUGCAAACCAUCAAAAAGAUGAGAUAUCCAUAAAGAACGAGCCACAAACGGUCAGAGUUCAGUACUGGCAUCACAGCAGCCGAGACACAGGAAUCAGGACUGAGAAGGAAGAGUAUUUGUUUGAAGAAGUUUGGCGGGAACAGACACCAAAGGUGAUGAGAAAAAAGAAAAAUAAACAAGUAAAAAACGAGGCGUCAGACCUCAGCCUGUGGAUACAGAGUUUAGAAAUAACAGACAACAAGAGACUCCGGAACAACUCGAGUGGGCGUGGCAACUGGGCGGGGCCUUUGUGUAAAGGGGCGGGGCAAACUCAGCGAGACCGACGCCCACACUUCCUGCCGCCCAUCACUCAAAGCGACUGCUUGCUUAACGUCCCUCUGCUCCUCCCAGACAACUCCCCGCCUCCGUCACCCUGCUCUCCGUCAGACAUCCGGUUCUUCCCUCUGUCUGUUCCUCACAUCCAGCCUUUUCCCAGAGAGAGGAGAGGAGACGCAGCAGCUCAGCGCCACUGACACGAUCACGUACUACAACUCAGUCUUCAUGAAGGAAAUAUACACUUGCAUUCUAAAAUAAGACUAAUGUCAUGAAAACUCAUAAUGAACACAGAUGAUGGUCUGAGAAUGAUGUUGUGAUUAAAUCAUGAGACAAAUGAAAACUCACUUUAUAUAUGAGCUUCUUCUUCGUCUAGAUUCACAAGCAAGACAUUUACCAAUCAAACUUCAGAAACACUGAGGAACAUGCGUCAUGAGCACGUGAUGAAAAAAACUAAAUAAAUAAACGUUCAUUUUUUACAGUUUAUAUCUGUGUACAAACCAUUUAAAGGGACAUUUCAACCAAAAUGAAAUUAUUCCACUUUAAAUAAUUCAAAACCUGUAUGAGUUUCUUUCUUCUGUUGAACAUGAAAGAAGAUAUUUUGAAGAAUGUAAUCAGGGAUUUGUUGGUCCUCACUGACCUCCACAGUAUGGAAGAUAAAAAUACUGUGGAAGUCAAUGGAGACCAGAGACGGAC
Molecule: long non-coding RNA, 2255 nt
Organism: Cyprinus carpio carpio
Lineage: Eukaryota; Metazoa; Chordata; Actinopteri; Cypriniformes; Cyprinidae
Source: Ensembl